CCCUUAGAUGUUCUGGGCCGCACGCGCGCUACACUGAUGCAUUCAACAAGUUCACCUUGGCCGAGAGGCUUGGGCAAUCUUUUGAACAUGCAUCGUGAUAGGGAUAGAUUAUUGCAAUUAUUAAUCUUGAACGAGGAAUUCCUAGUAAACGUAGAUCAUCAAUCUGCAUUGAUUACGUCCCUGCCCUUUGUACACACCGCCCGUCGCACCUACCGAUUGAAUGGUCCGGUGAAGCCUCGAGAUUGUGGCCAGCUCGCUUUAUUGGGAGUUGGUUGCGAGAACUUGUCUAAACCUUAUCAGUUAGAGGAAGGUGAAGUCGUAACA
Molecule: ribosomal RNA, 324 nt
Filed under: uncultured eukaryote
Lineage: Eukaryota
Description: partial 18S ribosomal RNA
Rfam family: Eukaryotic small subunit ribosomal RNA
Source: RNAcentral